Molecule: small nuclear RNA, 148 nt
Filed under: Echinops telfairi (small Madagascar hedgehog)
Lineage: Eukaryota; Metazoa; Chordata; Mammalia; Afrosoricida; Tenrecidae
Description: U1 spliceosomal RNA (ENSETEG00000023123.1)
Rfam family: U1 spliceosomal RNA
About the family: U1 is a small nuclear RNA (snRNA) component of the spliceosome (involved in pre-mRNA splicing). Its 5' end forms complementary base pairs with the 5' splice junction, thus defining the 5' donor site of an intron.
Source: RNAcentral
UUUCUUACCUGGCAGGGGAGAUGCCAUGAUCAUGAAGGUGGUUUUCUCAGGAUGAGGCUCACCCAUUGCACUGCGGGUGUGCUGACCCCUGCGAUUUCCCCAAAUGCGGGAAACUCAACUGCUACAAAUAUUAUAGUAAAAGCUUUUC